GCGGCGGCCACGAAUUGGGCUAUUAUUCCCGAUCUAACCGUUAGCUCAUUCAAUCGAUUCACCUAUAGAUCGGAGGUCCAAGCGGCGCGUGAGGAUUGAAGAUUGAGUGCCGUUUCCGUUGACAUUCUUCGCUUCUUUUUCCCACACAUCAUCCAGGACAAAGCAAAAUCUUUUGGUAUAGUUUUUUGUUUGACUAUGGAUCCAGGUGUUUAGAUCUUCUAAAAUUAGUUUCUAUAGUGUUUUUUUUUUUCAAAUUUUAUUUUAUGUGUUUAUCAGUUGUUAUUCGCAGAAUUAAGUUAAUAAUUGAAGUGAGAUAGUUGAAACAAGAGGUUAUAAUAGAUGUUGCCUACUAUCGAA
Molecule: long non-coding RNA, 357 nt
Organism: Erythranthe guttata (spotted monkey flower)
Lineage: Eukaryota; Viridiplantae; Streptophyta; Magnoliopsida; Lamiales; Phrymaceae
Source: RefSeq, a predicted model, not a curated record